This 253-nucleotide ribosomal RNA is filed under the name uncultured bacterium. RNAcentral's name for it is "partial 16S ribosomal RNA". It matches the Rfam family "Bacterial small subunit ribosomal RNA", at positions 524 to 776 of the family's 1533-position model. The record is from RNAcentral.
UACGGGGGGGGCAAGCGUUGUUCGGAAUUACUGGGCGUAAAGGGCGCGUAGGCGGCCUGUUAAGUCGAACGUGAAAUCCCUGGGCUCAACCCAGGAACUGCGUCCGAUACUGGCAGGCUUGAAUCCGGGAGAGGGAUGCGGAAUUCCAGGUGUAGCGGUGAAAUGCGUAGAUAUCUGGAGGAACACCGGUGGCGAAGGCGGCAUCCUGGACCGGCAUUGACGCUGAGGCGCGAAAGCCAGGGGAGCAAACGGG